GUCGUCUCGCACAACCCCCUCCUCUCCCCGACCUCUGUGCUCUUUCUCCCAAUCUAGGCAGCUGGGCGUAUCCUUCCCAGCAGCGCCGCCGACCACGACAUCGACCUCGACCAGCGGCCCCCUCACUCUUUCUCGAUCUCUAGUGCCAGCGCGCAUAGCGAAACGACAUCACACUCUCUAUUGAUUUACCUACCACGACGAUGUGCUCGGAGCCGUCCUUUCAAGGUGGAACGCAACUGCUGCUGUUGUCAACUCCCGAUCCCGAUCGAAGCUCGCCCAAUCCCGAUCGAGGUCCACCCGCCCAAUCCAGCGACCAGAGGAGAGGAGCAGCCGGUGCUGUCGAGGCCCCGAGGGGAUUUAGCGGACGCCAGCCGCGCGUGGGAUCCAGGAUCAAGGGAGCCGACGCAACGCGCGCGAGGGAACCGGCGGUCCAGGGGAACCAGCCAAGGCGAGGUGCCCCGGCCGGUCGAUGCGCUGCGGUUCGUCACCUGGCUACGGGGCAUGCUUCACCACGCCGCCUUCUGGGAGAGAGAGGCUGCUGCCGGGCGCCGGCGCUGGCGUGCAGGACGGAGUCGCCUCUCCAAGCGCCAGUUGUUGUUCGCGUCGUCGGGAGCGCGUUCGCAGCGGGCCGUGCCAGCCGUCUCUCACCAAUGUCGUGCCUGAGGGCUUUGCUGGUUGGGUCGCCGGUGGAGGACGAGGCCAAGCUUGCUCCGCUCUUUCUGAUCUAGGAGUGUAACAGAGUGCUGCGGCGAGAUCUCAGCUUUCAGGCGCAAACACCCCAACCCGUGAUCUGUUUAUACGAUGGAUCUAAAGUCCUCCGACACGCUGCUGCCCGGUCCAGGAAGGUAUGUGAACUUUGAGCAGACAAUGUUGGUUCGUUCUCGGUGGAGGUACAGUGGGUCACUAGAUAGUGGAUACUGGAUACAAUAGCAGCAGGUGGAUGUGUACGUAAUUGUACUUAUCCUGUGCUUUCUUGUGAUUGUAAACCUAAUCACAUUCUAGAUUGAUUGAUUCAUAUUGCCUUCCAUAAUUAGAAUAACUGGUGUUGUUUAUGAUGGUAUGCAUUAUCUUCUCUCCAGUUCUAGCUGCUCAACUUGCAUAUUUUACAACAAGCCCAAAAGACACACACUAUUUUAUGGAUAUUUACAUUAGCUUUUCAUCCUUUAGUGGUGAAAACAGUUUCCCAAAUUUUCUUUCCUUGUUCAUUCUUAUAUUAAUUUUUUUGUAAUGAUUUUCAUGACAAUCCACACACACACAGAGAUGCAAUAUUUAUUGAUAUGAUUUUUUGGUGGAAACAAACCGGAGGAAGUGAUGCACAACUCAGAAAAAGGUAAGUGAUGUGAAAUUUCUAGGUGCAUUGCUAUUUACACUACCAUGCAAUGACAUUCAAAUACGUAUUAAGCAUGUCCUUAAUAAAGUUUCACAUGCCAUUUUCUAUUAGAGUACUCCGAUCCAAGCUGGAUAUGUAGCUAGCCUCUCCUAAUCUGCCUGUAAAAGACACUCUCCUAAUCUUCCCAUGCUUUCAGUUUCUUCGGUAUCGGAGUUCUCAUCUAUUCUUUGAGAUUUCCAAAAAUUUGUGGUCUCCUUCCUGUUAUGUCACUAUUAAGUCUUCGGUUCAACGUGACACAUGCAGGGCCACCUUAAGUGCUCAACUGCCACAUCUAGCGGGAUAUGGAGAGGGACACGGAGAGUAUAUGCGUACCGAUGGUUGCGGGUUGAUGAAUACGGACCUGCUGAUGCAGUGAUCACUUCUGACAUUACCAGUUCCUGCACUCCUGGACUCCUCCUUUACCAACGACCCACAUGCAAAAUAACGUAAGCUGUCAGGCUCCAACUUGAUAAUCUAGAUGACAUGGUCACUAUACUGAGAACUGUUUUCCUUCAAAUGUAGAAAAAAAUGUUGCUCAAUCUGCUAUUUACAGAAAAAUGAGUAGCUGGCACUUGCUUCUAUUAAAUAGACAGUCAAUUUGUAGUAUGCAUCAGUACCACAAAAAGCCUUUUAGGUUGCCUGUCAGUUUAAAUUAUUUCUAUAAUGGUAAAUAGAUAGUCAAUUUGUAGUAUGCAUCAGUACCACAAAAAGCCUUUUAGGUUGCCUGUCAGUUUGUAUUAUUUCUAUAAUGGUGAUUGGAUAUUGUGGGCUCUACCUGUCAUUUUAGCAUGCUACAGAUUUCUGCCUAAGGUGAUUAUCAGCUUGAAUUUGAGCAGAAGGCUAAAGCUGUUCUUGGAACUUACAACAAGGUUGUCUUUCCAAAUGAAAAAAGAUGACAAAGCUCUAUUUUUUUGAA
This is a non-coding RNA of Triticum urartu, 2285 nucleotides long. NCBI's taxonomy places the organism in Eukaryota, Viridiplantae, Streptophyta, Magnoliopsida, Poales, Poaceae. The record is from RefSeq and is a predicted model, not a curated record.